AUACGGAGGGGGUUAGCGUUGUUCGGAAUUACUGGGCGUAAAGCGCACGUAGGCGGAUUGGAAAGUUGGGGGUGAAAUCCCAGGGCUCAACCCUGGAACUGCCUCCAAAACUAACAGUCUAGAGUUCGAGAGAGGUGAGUGGAAUUCCAAGUGUAGGGGUGAAAUUCGUAGAUAUUUGGAGGAACACCAGUGGCGAAGGCGGCUCACUGGCUCGAUACUGACGCUGAGGUGCGAAAGCGUGGGGAGCAAACAGGAUUAGAAACCCCAGUAGUCC
This 274-nucleotide ribosomal RNA is filed under the name uncultured bacterium. RNAcentral's name for it is "partial 16S ribosomal RNA". It matches the Rfam family "Bacterial small subunit ribosomal RNA", at positions 523 to 796 of the family's 1533-position model. The record is from RNAcentral.